RNAcentral lists this unclassified non-coding RNA (416 nucleotides) under uncultured Pseudoalteromonas sp. RNAcentral's name for it is "partial 16S-23S ribosomal RNA intergenic spacer". The record is from RNAcentral. Lineage: Bacteria; Pseudomonadati; Pseudomonadota; Gammaproteobacteria; Alteromonadales; Pseudoalteromonadaceae.
CCUCCUUAUACGAUUUAGAACUUAUUUGUUCGUAGUGUCCACACAGAUGAUUGUUAGUUAGUUUUACCCUUUGGGUUAACUAAUUAAUAUGCUCUUUAAAAAUUUGGAAAAGCUGAUAAUAAAAUUCGUAUGAAUAACAUUGUUAUUUGUACAGAGUUUUCAAAAGUAAAAAAGAAUGAUAGCAGUAUCAUUCAGUGCCAAUUUAAUCCUCGGAUUAAUUGGUAUCUACUUUAGUAUUCAAUAUUAACUUCUGGCGAAAUUAAACUGUCACGAAACAAANACCCGUUUGGGUUGUAUGGGUUAAGUGACUAAAGCGUACACGAUGGAUGCCCUUGGCCAAAGGGGCCUAAAUUCCAUUCCAACCGGCGGCCCUUUACUUAUUGGGAUCCCGAAGCUCCGGGUACCCAAGCUUUGGA